GACAGAGGGUGCAAACGUUGCUCGGAAUUACUGGGCGUAAAGGGCGUGUAGGCGGGCAGGUAAGUCGGGCGUGAAAUCCCUGGGCUCAACCCAGGAACUGCACUCGAAACUACUUGUCUUGAGUACCGGAGAGGAAAGCGGAAUUCCUGGUGUAGAGGUGAAAUUCGUAGAUAUCAGGAGGAACACCGGUGGCGAAGGCGGGUCUCUGGGCAGUAACUGACGCUGAGGAGCGAAAGCGUGGGGAGCGAACAGG
Molecule: ribosomal RNA, 253 nt
Filed under: uncultured bacterium
Lineage: Bacteria
Description: partial 16S ribosomal RNA
Rfam family: Bacterial small subunit ribosomal RNA
Source: RNAcentral